This 53-nucleotide transfer RNA is filed under the name Nothopoda sp. RNAcentral's name for it is "tRNA-Val". The record is from RNAcentral. Lineage: Eukaryota; Metazoa; Arthropoda; Arachnida; Trombidiformes; Eriophyidae.
AAAGUUAAAGCUAAAUAAGCAAAUCUAUUACAAAGAUUAAAAAAAUUACUUUA